Oncorhynchus tshawytscha (Chinook salmon) is the source of this 1970-nucleotide long non-coding RNA. The record is from Ensembl. Lineage: Eukaryota; Metazoa; Chordata; Actinopteri; Salmoniformes; Salmonidae.
UUUUUCUGGUUUCCUCAGAGAAAACACUAGACACAUGUAUUUAAGCACCAUAUGAAAACAGUAAAUGUCAUGAUCAUGUAUCAAUUGUGAAUUCUGGAAUAUUCUGCGAUAAUUGUUCACACUGAACCUUAUGUACUGAAAGUGAAGAAUGAGUCAAAUAAUACACGAGCAUCAUGACACCCCUGCAUCACAUUCAUUAUUUCCUCCCAAAUUGCAGAAUAGAGGCUAUGAUAAAGCAUGCUUUCAGGUUUUAUUUUUGUAACUUAUUUUUCUAGGAAAUACAGUAGCACAAUCAAUAAAUACUUAAAAUAAUAAUUAAAAUAAGAUUCACGUCGAUCCAAUGAAAACCCCUGGCCGAACAUCUAAUAUGCUCUUGGAAAUGUAAUUCCUUCUUUUAGUAGUAGCUAGAUGUUAGACAGACAGGCUGUAUCUGUCUAACCAAGGUCUAGUUCUGAGGUGAGCAGCGACUUGCUCAAGGGCAUUUUCUAUCGAAGGAAAAUGCAGUGAUGAAGUAUUGAGGUGUCACACAAAAGUGAUGAGUAGUGGGAGGAACAUCCAGGAUUAAGAAGUUCAGAAAAUCUAUUACUUUUAACCUCUUAGCAGGAGGCAGAGCGAGACAGUGUGAGAGAAACCAACGCAAGAUUUGAAGCCUGUAUAUUGCUUGAUCACAAAAAAAAAAAUUUUUUUUUUUUUUUAAAUCACAAAAAAAUCAGAAGAGUGAAAAUAAAUAAUGAUCCUCCCUUCUCAGUGUUGGGGAUACAACACUGAAAAUAGUUUACCAAGUUACCAAUUACUUUGCACUGGAAGAAAAUAAGCUACAGUUAUAGCUUACUUAAAUAAAGUUAUUUUGAAAAAUGUGUUAACUACAUCCAGACUACUACGUGAAAAAUUCUUAUAUCUAAAUCUGAAAUGUCAGACUACAAAUUGCAAGUUAGAUCACCCUGGCCCUAUUAAAACACCAAAUCACUUUCAAGUAGAGGUCGACCGAUUAUGAUUUUUCAACGCCGAUACCGAUAUUGGAGGACCAUAAAAGCCGGUGCCGAUUAUUGGAUAACCAAAAAAACGAUACCGAUUUAAAAAUCGGCCUCUUUUUAAAUGUAUUUGUAAUAAUGACAAUUACAACAAUACUGAAUGAACACUUAUUUUAACUUAAUAUAAUACAUCAAUAAAAUCUAUUUAGCCUCAAGUAAAUAAUGAAACAUGUUCAAUUUGGUUUAAAUAAAGCAAAAACAAAGUGUUGUAGAAGAAAGUAAAAGUGCAAUAUGUGCUAUGUAAGAAAGCUAACGUUUCAGUUCCUUGCUCAGAACAUAUGAAAGCUGGUGGUUCCUUUUAACAUGAGUCUUCAAUAUUCCCAGGUAAGAAGUUUUAGGUUGUAGUUAUAGGAAUUAUAGGACUAUUUCCCUCUAUCCCAUUUGUAUUUCAUUAACCUUUGACUAUUAGGUGUUCUUAUAGGCACUUUAGAAUUGCCAGUGUAAGAGUAUAGUUUCCUGUUGAUAGGCUUGAAGUCAUAAACAGCGCAAUGCUUGACACACAACGAAGAGCUGCUGGCAAAACGCACAAAAGUGCUGUUUGAAUGAACGCGCCUACUUCUGCCUACCACCGCUCAGUCAGAUACUUGUAUGCUCAGUCAGAUUAUAUGCAACGCAGGACACACUAGAUAAUAUCAACCAUGUGUAGUUAACUAGUGAUUAUGAUUGAUUGUUUUUUUAUAAGAUAAGUUUAAUGCUAGCUAGCAAAUUACCUUGGCUUACUGCAUCCGCGUAACAGGCAGUCUCCUUGUGGAGUGCAACGAGAGAGAGGCAGGUCGUUAUUGCGUUGGACUAGUUAACUAAGGUUGCAAGAUUGGAUCUCCCGAGCUGACAAGGUGAAAAUCUGUCGUUCUGCCCCUGAACGAGGCAGUUAACCCACCGUUCCUAGGCCAUCAUUGAAAAUAAGAAUGUGUUCUUAACUGACUUGCCUAGUUAAAUAAA